RNAcentral lists this long non-coding RNA (207 nucleotides) under Prunus persica (peach). RNAcentral's name for it is "long non-coding RNA (PPER_LNC008142)". Lineage: Eukaryota; Viridiplantae; Streptophyta; Magnoliopsida; Rosales; Rosaceae. The record is from RNAcentral.
GUAUGUGAUGGUUAUUUCUUUUUGGGUUUGUUGAUAAUCAUUUGUACAGAAACCACAAAGGAAAUAAUCAGUUUUUGUUAUUUCCAGUGAUUUCUUUAUGUGGUUCUUGUUUUAGAUUAACCAGGUGGCCAACCAAAACCCUUGCGCGAUUGGGUUGGGUGGUUGGUAGUGCAAGGUAGGAAGAUUUGGGUUGUUGUGGGAGUUGGU